RNAcentral lists this ribosomal RNA (1530 nucleotides) under Escherichia coli HVH 3 (4-7276001). Its description in RNAcentral is "bacterial SSU rRNA". It matches the Rfam family "Bacterial small subunit ribosomal RNA". Lineage: Bacteria; Pseudomonadati; Pseudomonadota; Gammaproteobacteria; Enterobacterales; Enterobacteriaceae. The record is from RNAcentral.
AGAGUUUGAUCAUGGCUCAGAUUGAACGCUGGCGGCAGGCCUAACACAUGCAAGUCGAACGGUAACAGAAAGCAGCUUGCUGCUUUGCUGACGAGUGGCGGACGGGGGAGUAAUGUCUGGGAAACUGCCUGAUGGAGGGGGAUAACUACUGGAAACGGUAGCUAAUACCGCAUAACGUCGCAAGACCAAAGAGGGGGACCUUCGGGCCUCUUGCCAUCGGAUGUGCCCAGAUGGGAUUAGCUAGUAGGUGGGGUAAAGGCUCACCUAGGCGACGAUCCCUAGCUGGUCUGAGAGGAUGACCAGCCACACUGGAACUGAGACACGGUCCAGACUCCUACGGGAGGCAGCAGUGGGGAAUAUUGCACAAUGGGCGCAAGCCUGAUGCAGCCAUGCCGCGUGUAUGAAGAAGGCCUUCGGGUUGUAAAGUACUUUCAGCGGGGAGGAAGGGAGUAAAGUUAAUAUCUUUGCUCAUUGACGUUACCCGCAGAAGAAGCACCGGCUAACUCCGUGCCAGCAGCCGCGGUAAUACGGAGGGUGCAAGCGUUAAUCGGAAUUACUGGGCGUAAAGCGCACGCAGGCGGUUUGUUAAGUCAGAUGUGAAAUCCCCGGGCUCAACCUGGGAACUGCAUCUGAUACUGGCAAGCUUGAGUCUCGUAGAGGGGGGUAGAAUUCCAGGUGUAGCGGUGAAAUGCGUAGAGAUCUGGAGGAAUACCGGUGGCGAAGGCGGCCCCCUGGACGAAGACUGACGCUCAGGUGCGAAAGCGUGGGGAGCAAACAGGAUUAGAUACCCUGGUAGUCCACGCCGUAAACGAUGUCGACUUGGAGGUUGUGCCCUUGAGGCGUGGCUUCCGGAGCUAACGCGUUAAGUCGACCGCCUGGGGAGUACGGCCGCAAGGUUAAAACUCAAAUGAAUUGACGGGGGCCCGCACAAGCGGUGGAGCAUGUGGUUUAAUUCGAUGCAACGCGAAGAACCUUACCUGGUCUUGACAUCCACGGAAGUUUUCAGAGAUGAGAAUGUGCCUUCGGGAACCGUGAGACAGGUGCUGCAUGGCUGUCGUCAGCUCGUGUUGUGAAAUGUUGGGUUAAGUCCCGCAACGAGCGCAACCCUUAUCCUUUGUUGCCAGCGGUCCGGCCGGGAACUCAAAGGAGACUGCCAGUGAUAAACUGGAGGAAGGUGGGGAUGACGUCAAGUCAUCAUGGCCCUUACGACCAGGGCUACACACGUGCUACAAUGGCGCAUACAAAGAGAAGCGACCUCGCGAGAGCAAGCGGACCUCAUAAAGUGCGUCGUAGUCCGGAUUGGAGUCUGCAACUCGACUCCAUGAAGUCGGAAUCGCUAGUAAUCGUGGAUCAGAAUGCCACGGUGAAUACGUUCCCGGGCCUUGUACACACCGCCCGUCACACCAUGGGAGUGGGUUGCAAAAGAAGUAGGUAGCUUAACCUUCGGGAGGGCGCUUACCACUUUGUGAUUCAUGACUGGGGUGAAGUCGUAACAAGGUAACCGUAGGGGAACCUGCGGUUGGAUCACCU